This 742-nucleotide long non-coding RNA is filed under the name Homo sapiens (human). RNAcentral describes it as "HSALNT0286271". The record is from RNAcentral. Lineage: Eukaryota; Metazoa; Chordata; Mammalia; Primates; Hominidae.
GGGCAACUAAAACUCCAAUGUCACAGAAAAGAAAAGCAGAGUCAGCUACUGAGAGCUCUGGAAAGAAGGAUGUCAAGAAGGUGAAAUCCUAAAGCCUAGAAAUAAAGUUUUAAAUGGGAAACUGCUAUUUUCUUGUUCCCAUCUUCAAAUGCUAAUUGCCAGUUCCAGUGUAUUCAUGGUACUCUAAGAAAAAUCUCUUUGGUUUUGAUUUCUUGCAUAUUUUAUAUAUUUUACAAUGCUUUCUACCUGAAAUGUGUAGCUUUAUAUUUUAUGGCAUUCUAGUAUUUUUGUGUACUGUAUUUUGUGCAUUUCAUGUCUUCAUCAAAAUCCUCUCAGUCCUUGUUCUUUUGAAGCUUGUGCUGAGGUUUUAGCUUUUCUAUGUUUUAUAUGCCGCUGCUUUGAAAGAGAACCUAGAUUCUAUAGUUGUAUUAUUGUUGUUUCAUACUUUAAAUUUAUAUGGCUGUGGAAAAACGAAUUAAAAUGUUUUGAGGAGAAAGACUUUUUCACUUCUUUGUUGCUUUCUUUUCUAUUGAGUCUGGGCUUGUUUGUGUUACUGCAUACUGUGAUUAGCAUAAUAAUUGUUUCUUUGAGGUCAUCUAAAUAUUUUUUUCCUAAAGGAAUAAAGGGUGAGGAAAGAAAAAUAUUAAAAAAGCUAAUAUUUGAUACUGUGCUUGCUGUCAGUAUGCAUUACAUUUAAAUUAUUCUCUAUUCAAGUGGGAAAAUAUAAUAAAGAAAUGUCUAU